AAACUCCGCAAUACGCGAAAGCGUGACGGGGGAACUCCAAGUGCGCUCGCGCAAGCGAGUGCUUUUGCAGAGUGCAAACAGCUCUGCGAAUAAAAGCGGGGUAAGACCGGUGCCAGCCGCCGCGGUAACACCGGCCACUUGAGUGGCGACCACUAUUAUUGGGCCUAAAGCGUCCGUAGCCGGUUUAGUAAGUCCUUAGAUAAAUCCACUCGUUCAACGAAUGGAAUUCUAAAGAUACUGCCAGACUCGGGGGCGAGAGAAGUCGGAGGUACUUCUAGGGUAGCGGUGAAA
This 291-nucleotide ribosomal RNA is filed under the name uncultured archaeon. RNAcentral describes it as "partial 16S ribosomal RNA". It matches the Rfam family "Archaeal small subunit ribosomal RNA", at positions 345 to 637 of the family's 1478-position model. The record is from RNAcentral.